RNA transcript from Mangifera indica (mango), 2026 nucleotides. It is a transcript of the gene named splicing factor U2af large subunit A-like, with no coding region annotated. The record is from RefSeq and is a predicted model, not a curated record. NCBI's taxonomy places the organism in Eukaryota, Viridiplantae, Streptophyta, Magnoliopsida, Sapindales, Anacardiaceae. The transcript is spliced from 18 exons.
CUAGGCUUUAGCUAUUUAUAGUUCAAUAACGUCACCAAUUGCGGCCCCACCAAGUCUCGCUACUAAUCACAGUGGAGUUCAAUUUUCAGCGUAACCGGAAAAGCAAAGUAGAACACCCUUGACCUAACGCGUUGCCCUAUACAAGGGCCUCAUUUUGUCCUUUCCGUUUUCAAAAUCAGAAUUAGGGUCUGGAAAAUUGGAAGCUGAAAUGUCUGGUAAAGACAGUCGAUAUGAUGCCAAUGUCGAAGACUCGCAUCAAAAGAGUUCUCGGCGGUCAGAUUAUGAAAGGUCCAGGACUACAGACCGAGACCGAGACCAAGACCAUCAUCAUAGGGAUUAUAAGGACAGGAGCUUGAGGGGUGACAGAGGAAGGGGUAAGAAUGAUGAUAAUGAUCGUCAACGGGGCCGAGAUCAUGACAGACACCGUGACUAUGAUCGAGACAAAGAAAGGAGACAUAGGCAUAGAUCACCCUCCCGUUCAAAGGAAACAUCUAGGAACCGAUCUGGAUCACCCUCUCAGUCCCGUUCUCCUUCAAAAAGCAGGAGGAGAAGUGGUUUUGAUAUGGCGCCACCUGUUGCUGCUAUGCUGCCUACUGCUGCCGUUCCAGGGCAACUGCCUGGUACUCCACAAACAACUGCAGGAACAGUUCAAAACAUGCUACCUUUUGGAACAACUCAGUUGGGAGCUCUUCCUUUGAUGCCGAUGCAAGCCAUGACUCAACAGGCUACAAGGCAUGCUCGCCGGGUAUAUGUUGGUGGGCUUCCCCCCUUGGCUAAUGAACAGACAAUUGCAACAUUCUUUAGCCAGGUUAUGGCUGCUAUUGGGGGCAAUUCUGCUGGUCCAGGUGAUGCAGUAGUAAAUGUUUAUAUUAAUCAUGAGAAGAAGUUUGCAUUUGUGGAGAUGAGAACUGUUGAAGAAGCAAGUAAUGCAAUGGCAUUGGAUGGAAUCAUAUUUGAGGGGGUUGCGGUAAGGGUAAGAAGGCCUACGGAUUACAACCCUACAUUAGCUGCAGCACUUGGUCCUGGCCAACCAAGUCCUCACCUUAACUUGGCAGCUGUUGGCCUCGCACCUGGUGCAAUUGGUGGAGCAGAGGGUCCUGAUCGCGUCUUUGUGGGUGGAUUGCCAUACUAUUUUACUGAAGCACAGAUAAGAGAGUUGCUCGAGUCCUUUGGGACCCUCCGUGGCUUUGACCUUGUUAAGGAUAGAGACACUGGGAACUCUAAAGGAUAUGGUUUCUGUGUCUACCAGGAUCCAACAGUGACAGACAUUGCGUGUGCGGCUCUAAAUGGCUUGAAAAUGGGUGAUAAAACUCUAACUGUUCGGCGUGCUACUAUCAGCAGUGGGCAAUCUAAGUCGGAACAAGACAAUAUAUUAGCUCAGGCUCAACAGCACAUUGCUAUUCAGAAAAUGGCCUUGCAAACUGGUGUUAUGAAUCUUCCUGGAGGGGGGACAACACCUUCAGCAUUUGGAGAAAGUCCAGCUAAAGUAUUAUGUUUGACUGAGGCAAUAACUGCUGAUGUUCUGAUGGAUGAUGAAGAGUAUGAGGAAAUACUGGAAGACAUGAGAGAAGAAUGCAGUAAAUAUGGGUGUUCAUGCAAAAAUGCAAUGAUCCUUAAAAGAACUCAGACCCUCAUUGAUUUGUGCAACAUGAACCUCAAAACGAAAAAGAGAGAGAUUAGAACAGCCUAGAUAGCUACAAAAACAAGUACCUCUCAUCUCAACACCACCCCUAGUCAUUUAUGAAAAAUGAAGAAGAAUGAGUUAUCUCGGAUAUCUUUUCUAAUGGAUGCCCAAAUAACAGCAAAAAAUAAUCUGAUCUCUUCCCAGAGUACUAAUUUCUCCUUUGUUCUCUUUAAAGAUUUAGCCAUUUGUUUCUCUCCGAAUCACCCACGGAAGAGUUAGAAGUGUAAGGUUUCAAGGACUUUUAACCUUCCUUUGCCAAAAGUAACAACAUUCUGAACUUUGGUGAAUGUUGUGAUUCCUCGCCCACAUCCAAAUGGAGAGCAGUUUCCAGGCGUCGGAAAG